UGAAACGGUCCACGGUUUAGUCAGUGUGACGCAAGCAGAAGAGGAGGAGGACGCAGCAGCAUCUUCCAUACAGCUUGCCAUCGUCGUGUAUACAGGACACCACGACAUCCAUAGACCGUUGUUAAGAAGGAAAGAUAUCAAAUAAAGACGUUCGUUCGCGACCCAUAGGAUGACAAAAGAGGACACCGCAGAGGUGGAGGAGGCCCAGCCAGCCUCUGAGUACCAUAGCCCAGUUCUGGAGGCCCGGAAGCGGCCCAUGGUCCACCCAUCUGCCCCAGCUCCACUCCCUAAGGACUACGCUUUUACAUUCUUUGAUCCAAAUGACCCGGCCUGCCAGGAGAUCCUCCUUGACCCCCGCACCACCAUCCCAGAGCUCUUUGCCAUUAUCAGACAAUGGGUCCCGCAGGUGCAGCACAAAAUCGACAUCAUUGGCAAUGAGAUCUUGAAGAGAGGUUGCCAUGUCAAUGACCGGGAUGGACUGACAGACAUGACCUUGCUGCACUACAGCUGCAAGGCUGGUGCCCAUGGAGUCGGCGACCCUGCCGCAGCCCUGCGUCUGUCCCAUCAGCUGAUCACCCUCGGCGCUGAUGUGGGCCUGCGCAGCCGGUGGACCAACAUGAAUGCUCUGCACUACGCCGCCUACUUUGAUGUGCCCGAGCUCAUCCGUGUCCUGCUGAAGGCCUCCAAGCCAAGGGUGCUGAACUCCACGUGCAGUGACUUCCACCAUGGGACUGCCCUGCACAUCGCCGCCUCCAACCUGUGCCUGGGAGCGGUCAAGUGUCUGCUGGAACAUGGGGCUAACCCCACUGUCAGGAACGACAAAGGCCAGGGCCCCGCGGAGGUGGUGCCGGACCCCAUGGACAUGAGCCUGGACAAGGCGGAGGCGGCCAUGGUGGCCAAAGAGCUGAAGCAGCUCCUGCUGGAUGCUGUGCCGCUGAGCUGCAACCUGCCGCGUGCCACUCUGCCCAACUACGACAACAUCCCCGGCAACCUGAUGCUGACCUCGCUGGGGCUCAAACUGGGAGACCGCAUCCUGCUGGAUGACAUGAAGCUUUCCCAAAAAUCUUGCAGUGAUGUCUCCUCUUCUCUGCACCAUGCGAAGCAGACUGGAACACUGCGCUUUUGCGGGACAACAGAGUUCGCCAGCGGGCAGUGGGUGGGCGUGGAGCUCGACGAACCCGAGGGCAAAAAUGAUGGGAGUGUUGGAGGGGUGCGCUACUUCAUCUGCCCCCCAAAACUGGGGAUUUUUGCCCCUGUGUCUAAAAUCACCAAAGCCACAGAACAGACCCCCUCUUCCGUCACCUCCACCCCUAAAACCCCACGCAUGGACUUCUCCCGUGUCACCGGUAAAAACAAGAAGGAGAAGAAGGAGAAGGAGAAAGAAAAAGCUCAACGAAAGAAGUCCCUGUCCACUGGGUGCCUGGACCCUGAAGGAGUUAAGAUAGAGUUGGGGGACCAGGUGCUGGUAGCUGGACAGAAGCAAGGAAUUGUACGCUUCUAUGGAAAGACAGACUUUGCUCCAGGAUACUGGUUUGGGGUAGAGCUGGAACAGCCCACUGGGAAACAUGAUGGCUCCGUUUUUGGGGUCCGCUACUUCAGCUGCCUGCCGAAGUAUGGAGUCUUCGCCCCUCCAUCCCGUGUGCAGAGGAUUGGUGGACCCAAAGACUCCCAGAGCGAUGGCACACUGGUGAAGAAAGUUCACCAGGUCACUAUUUAUUCCAGUGUCCCAGCCCAAGCGUAACUUCGCUGCAAUGAGAACACCCAAGGACAUCACGUCGGAGAGCUCCAUAUCCAGGUUACUGUUCUGUUGUUGGUUCCCCUGGAUGCUGCGUGCUGAGAUGCAGUCUUAACCGCACCCUUCCUCCUCCUCAUCUUCCUCCUCUGCCUCCUGGACAGGCCAACUACUCUCUUCCUCUCAGCAUUUGUCCAUCAUUUCUGCUUUUUCUCUGAGAACCAACCAGACUGUUGCUGUCAAUAUAACCGUAGUGAACCACCACCCCCUCGCCCCUCACCUCUCGCCCCCCCAAGCCCCUGUUCGCAAUCCUAUAGCAAAAUCUAGUGCCUUGUAUCUUAACUAACGUCCUGCAUUCCGUUUGUUACACUAACAAAAAAACUUCAAAAAAGAAAAAAAAAAUAGUUGGGGGAACAGUACAAAGAGCAAAUAAUAUAUAGAGAACUCUAAGUUUUAUAAGUUUCCCGUUUGUGAAUUUUUCUUCUUUGGUGUUGACUCUUGAUGUUAAUUGUUGCCAAAAUCAUCUGAACAGUCAGACAAACUAGCAAAAUGCUAACUUAAAAACAUAUAUAGAGAGAGCUUCCAUGAAUAACAGCUCAAAUUAACUGUAAUGCGACCAGGCCUUGCUUCUGAUGUUUCCGUGAGCAUACAUGCUGGUAUUUUUUUUAAUUGCUGUUUCUGAUUUUCCAUGUAUGCGCUUCAAGAUACAAAAACCUGUUUAUGACCACAUUUAUAUUAAUUCCCCUGAGCUUCUCUUAGCAGCAGGUAGAACCUGGCUUGUGCUGUUCCAUACAGAGAUCUGAGCAGGAGUCAAAAAAUGGUGCCCAAAAUUCAAGACACCCUUUGCAUUCAUGGUGUAGAAAACAGCUUUUAUUACACAUUUAGCUCAUUUUACACAUUUUCUUCAGCUUAAUUAAGUUGCUAUAUUAAUAUAAAUAAGCAUUUUCAGCUGUUAUUAUGUCAGGUUCUACCUUUGUGAUGUUUGGCACCUUUAACAAAAUUAUUAUUUUUGCCUUUUUCAGUGACCAGAACAAAAAAAUCUUCAGGAACCCCUAUAACACAGCUACCUAAUAACUUUUUCAACUGAAAUGUAAGUGCAAAUUUUAAUUUCUGUAUGGAUUUAUUUUAAGCCUUAUAAAACAAUCAUUGUUAGGGGGGUCCAUGGAGAAUGGCCAUUCAUGUUUAGACAAAGACAAAUAGUCUUUCUCAGCAGUAAUUUAAUUGUAUAUUAAAUUACACAAAAGAUGAACUUCCUUCCACCAAAUUUCAUGUGAAAAGUUUCAUUUCUGUGUAAAUCUACAUGAAACAGGAAUGAAAUACUCAGCAUGUUAAGCAGCUUUUAUCAGUACAAUCUGCCCACACACACACACACAGUAUUUUUCUGGUAGAUGUGGUGACAAAUCAAUAAAUAUUCCCCCAAGAAUUAAUAUGUUGUCUUUUGCUCUACCAAAAAAUAAAAUAAAAUAAAAAGUUAAAAUAAAAUAAUAAAAAUGUCUGAGUAGCUGUCUGUAUCCUGUCAGUACAUUUGUGAGAGCACCUGGCUUCCCAGCAGACUUGUACAGGCUUACACAUCGCUACACUAUGGUGACAGCAUUAGCUUCGCAGUCUCUAGCCCUUCUGUGACUCAUGAGACUGUACAAUCAGUCGCUUCUUGCCCCAGAAUUGCCACCGGCAUUCUGGCUCUGCAAGUAGCACCCGCCGGUUAUGCAGCGCUACUGUGAGCUCCCUUGUUGCGCACUACCCAUGUUAAGCUUCGGUAGGUCCAGUGAAUAUGUGCUUAGAAAUAAACUCUCUCCUAUUGCCGUCAAACGUCUUUAUCACUGUGCUUGUGGAGAAACGGCAAUUCCACCUCUGUGUUAACUGGUAUUGUGAACAUUGCUAGUGAACUGAGUACUCACACCAGGCCAGCACACCAGAAGGGAAGGGGAAUCUCAUUCAGACACAUACAUGUAUUGGUGCUGCAGUGAACAACAAAGGUGGGCCUGAAUAUUGGUUUCAAUAUCUGAAUUAGUUCAAUAAUUUUCCUGUAAAAAAAUCACAAGUAGUAGUACUUGUACAGUAGUACGUUUACAGUGCUGCUGUGACAUUGCUAAAAGCAACCCAGUAAAGGUGUGAAAGCUUAAUGUGCAACAUAGGAUAAUACUUCUUAGGGUAAGUGUUACCCCUGAAAGUAGUUCAGCUGGAAAUAUAUGACCAGCUCACCUUUUGAUAGGGGGCUCAGCUGGGCCAGAGGUACCAUUCACGGUUUUUAGGAAACAAGAGGCAGCCAUCUGUAUAAAGAUGAGUCACCUUCAUAUGUCAGAGAGGAUAUUUAAAAUUGUGUACAUUUGUAUUUUUUAAUUUACUUGAAUGUUGGCUCCUCUAGAUCUUUGUGUGAUAUGUUUCACCGUUAUAAUGAGGGAUUGCUUUCGGCUCCUGUUAAUAUUUUUGUGGUAAACUUGUUCUGUGACACAGAGGUUUCUUGGAGGUUGCCUAGGUGUCCUUUCAUGUUUCAACUGUUACUUUACUGAGCAAAUGACAGGCACUACAUGCAUAAAAUGACUAACUACCAUGUCUAACAUGGAGCAAAUAUUCCUUCCUGGUUUUCUUUCAUUUUGGUCGUAUAUAUAUAUAUAUAUAUAUAUACAUAUAUAUAUAUAUAUAUAUAUAUAUAUAUUGCUGGAAAUACAUAUAUGUCUGAAGCUUUUUUUUAUUUUCUUCUCAAGUAAAGUUUUACAUUUGAGCAAGAAAGGAAUACAAUACCCAAAACAGAUCAUGAACCUGUUACUUGGGUAGAUAAGAUGCCUUCUUAUUCCAAUAAAACAGAAUUUCCACUGCUUUAAUUUUAGAUUUAACCCUAAAUAAUGUUUAAAAUGUGGUACAUCACUUUCAUCACUUGACAGAUCCAUUUCUGAAUGACAGCCUCGGAAUCUUUCAGUAGUCUUUUCCUUCAGCUGUGUAUAUGUCAAAGUUUGAUUGUGUUGGUUUGUACACAGAUUUUUGCUGAAAUAACUGAACAAUAUCUGAAAAGUCAUGGAUUUUAAAAUGUCCUGAUCAUGGUUAUCUGUGAAAUUAUGCUCUUGUUUGUGGUUUCAGGCAAUUGGAUUUUUGUGCUCUGUCAGCAAAUAUAGAUAUAUAUUAAUAACUUCACUAAGUGUACUUUUAAUUUAUUUACCUUUACGUGUCUAUUCUUAUGCCAGUGUAAAUUGGCAAGAUUACAAUUUCCACAUAUUAUUUAUUGAAAUUUUAACUAUCCUCUGUUCAAUAGAAAGAUAGUUUGUGGGGAUUGUACCGUUGAAAUUAGUACUGGUGUCUCUGAAAUUAAUAUUUACUUGUCAAAUACUGCAUGCUCUCAGCAUCUUCUGUCUUUUUUCAAAGGUGUAUUUCAGCAUGAAAAUGCUUACAGUUAUUAAUACUGACUGAAUAAUAAAAGUAACUUUGAUGUGUGUUUUGUAAA
RNA transcript from Anguilla anguilla (European eel), 5168 nucleotides. It is a transcript of the gene named CAP-GLY domain containing linker protein 3, with no coding region annotated. The record is from RefSeq and is a predicted model, not a curated record. The transcript has 15 exons. Lineage: Eukaryota; Metazoa; Chordata; Actinopteri; Anguilliformes; Anguillidae.